This 371-nucleotide ribosomal RNA is filed under the name uncultured organism. Its description in RNAcentral is "bacterial SSU rRNA". It matches the Rfam family "Bacterial small subunit ribosomal RNA", at positions 526 to 896 of the family's 1533-position model. The record is from RNAcentral.
CGUAGGGUGCGAGCGUUAAUCGGAAUUACUGGGCGUAAAGCGUGCGCAGGCGGUUUUGUAAGCCAGAUGUGAAAUCCCCGGGCUUAACCUGGGAAUGGCAUUUGGGACUGCAAGGCUUGAGUGCGGCAGAGGAGACUGGAAUUCCUGGUGUAGCAGUGAAAUGCGUAGAUAUCAGGAGGGAUACCGAUGGCGAAGGCAGGUCUCUGGGCUGACACUGACGCUCAUGCACGAAAGCGUGGGGAGCAAACAGGAUUAGAUACCCUGGUAGUCCACGCCCUAAACGAUGUCGACUGGUUGUUGGGGGUUUGACACUCUCAGUAACGAAGCUAACGCGUGAAGUCGACCGCCUGGGGAGUACGGCCGCAAGGUUA